CCUACGGGUGGCAGCAGUGAGGAAUAUUGGUCAAUGGCCGAGAGGCUGAACCAGCCAAGUAGCGUGAGGGAAGACGGCCCUACGGGUUGUAAACCUCUUUUGUCGGGGAGCAAAGCGAGUCACGUGUGACUCAUUGAGAGUACACGACGAAAAAGCAGCGGCUAACUCCGUGCCAGCCACCGCGGUAAUACGGAGGAGGCGAGCGUUAUCCGGAUAUAUUGGGUUUAAGGGGUGCGCAGGCGGAGGUGCAAGUCAGCGGUCAGAUUGCGGGGCUCAACCCGGUACUGCCGUUGAAACUGCAUCCCUUGAGUGCGCGCGAAGUAUGCGGAAUGCGUGGUGUAGCGGUGAAAUGCAUAGAUAUCACGCAGAACUCCGAUUGCGAAGGCAGCAUACCGGCGCGCAACUGACGCUCAUGCACGAGAGCGUGGGUAUCGAACAGGAUUAGAUACCCUAGUAGUC
Molecule: ribosomal RNA, 459 nt
Filed under: uncultured bacterium
Lineage: Bacteria
Description: partial 16S ribosomal RNA
Rfam family: Bacterial small subunit ribosomal RNA
Source: RNAcentral